RNAcentral lists this ribosomal RNA (102 nucleotides) under uncultured bacterium. RNAcentral's name for it is "partial 16S ribosomal RNA". It matches the Rfam family "Bacterial small subunit ribosomal RNA", at positions 1365 to 1482 of the family's 1533-position model. The record is from RNAcentral.
AAUGUGUUCCUGAGCCUUGUACACACCGCCCGUCAAGUCAUGGGAGUUGGGAGUACCCGAAGUCCGCUUCGGCGGCCGACGGUAAGCCCGAUGACUGGGACU